This 104-nucleotide small nuclear RNA is filed under the name Rattus norvegicus (Norway rat). The record is from RNAcentral. Lineage: Eukaryota; Metazoa; Chordata; Mammalia; Rodentia; Muridae.
CUGCUCACUUUGGCAGCACAUAUUCUGAAAUAGGAACCGUUCAGAGAUUAUCGUGGCCCCUGAACAAGGGUCACACUCAAAUACGUGAAGCGAUCAAUGCAGGU